CCUACGGGGGGCUGCAGUGGGGAAUAUUGGACAAUGGGCGAAAGCCUGAUCCAGCCAUGCCGCGUGUGUGAAGAAGGCCUUCGGGUUGUAAAGCACUUUCAGUGGGGAAGAAAGCCUUGGGGCUAAUACCCUCGAGGAAGGACAUCACCCACAGAAGAAGCACCGGCUAACUCCGUGCCAGCAGCCGCGGUAAUACGGAGGGUGCGAGCGUUAAUCGGAAUUACUGGGCGUAAAGCGCGCGUAGGCGGUCUGAUAAGCCGGUUGUGAAAGCCCCGGGCUCAACCUGGGAACGGCAUCCGGAACUGUCAGGCUAGAGUGCAGGAGAGGAAGGUAGAAUUCCCGGUGUAGCGGUGAAAUGCGUAGAGAUCGGGAGGAAUACCAGUGGCGAAGGCGGCCUUCUGGACUGACACUGACGCUGAGGUGCGAAAGUGUGGGUAGCAAACAGGAUUAGAUACCCCAGUAGUC
RNAcentral lists this ribosomal RNA (465 nucleotides) under Vreelandella stevensii. RNAcentral's name for it is "partial 16S ribosomal RNA". It matches the Rfam family "Bacterial small subunit ribosomal RNA", at positions 338 to 795 of the family's 1533-position model. The record is from RNAcentral. Lineage: Bacteria; Pseudomonadati; Pseudomonadota; Gammaproteobacteria; Oceanospirillales; Halomonadaceae.